ACCACGUGAUCACCCACGCUUGCAGUUCAGAGUCGCUGAGACAACAGGAACAGCAGAUGCUGGAGCAUCUGAGAUGACACGGUGUGUAGCUGGAUGAACACAGCAGGUCAAGCAGCAUCAGGCGAGCAGGAAAGCUGAUGUUUCGGGCCUAGAUCCUUCGCUGAGACCAAGAUUUGUGCAAUUGAGAUACCAGCGAUCGUUGCCAAAGCCCUGUUACCUGUGGAGAAGAUGAUGUUUAACUUUCGUGUCCUGCUGCAUUUUGUAUGCUGAAGGACUGUGCGGUAGUCGCUGUUAUCAAUCCUGACAGGGACAGAUGCAUCUGCAGCUGGGAAAUUCGUGACAAUGAGAUCUGCUAUGUUUUUCCCUUCUGUUGGUUGUGUCAGCACCUGCUGCAGUCCCAGCCAAGCAGCUUUGAUGAGCUUGAUUGGUAAUCCUGAUGCUGAACUACUCCUGAUGGUCGACAAUGUGGAAAUCACUGGCUGGACCAACAUUUAUUGCCCAUCCCUCAUUGCCCCAAAGGCAGUUAAGAGUCAACCACAUUGCUGUGGGUUUGGAGUUGCAUGUCAUGCAGACCAGGUAAGGAUGGCAGAUUUCCUUCCCGAAAGGACAUAAGUGAACCUGAAUAAUCAGCAAUGGUUUCAUGGUCAUCAUUUGACUAUUAAUUCCAGAUCAUUAUUUAAUUCAAAUUUCACCAUUUGCCGUGGCAGGAUUCGAACCCAGGUCCCCAGAAUGUUAUCUGGGUCUCUGGAUAAAUAAUCUAGCGAUAAUACUGCUGCCGAUUUUAUCAACUGAGGGAGGAUGGUCCAUGGCAUUCAGCAGGAGCCAUGAGACUUCCAGGCGUAAGAGUCAAUGUCAAGUACUCCCAGGUCCGUUCCCGCGAUCAGAAUAGCACUGUGCUGCCACGUCCGUCCUGCUCCUGGGACAGGCCUUCACUCAGGACAGUGGUGGCGUGUGUCACUUGUCUGUAAGGUAGAUUCUAUGCAAAUGAAGCUGUUUCUUGACUAGUCUUGGAGCCACCUCUCCAAAUUUUGCCACUCGCCCCGAGAUAUUAGUAAGGAGGAAUUUAUGGAGUCGACAGGGCUGAUUCUGCAGUUGUCUUUCCUCGUGCCUUGGUAGAUGCCGAGUGGUCCACCCAGCUUCAUUCCUUUGAGACUUUACAGUCACUUGCAACUGAGUGGCUUGCUGAGGUUGGCAAAUUUUUUUCCCUGAUGGACAUUAGAUUUUUUUCUUUUUCUGCCAUUAGCAAUGGUUCCAUGGCAACCAGUUGAUUCUUAAUUCCAGUUUUUUUAUUGAAUUCAAAUUCCACCAUCUGCUAAGAUGGAAUUCAAACCCAGACUUCUGUUGUACAUUUUAAUAUUCUGGAUAAAAGUUAAUUCAUCAGGUUUGUUCACUCAUUUUUGAAUAUCUCUAACACAGGCAUUGUUUCUUUGCAAACCGUUGUCCAUCAUCCUGUCUCUUCAAUCCUCCCCUCCAACCAAAAGUGAGGGAGUCAUAUGGAAACUCCAUCUCACUGAGAUUGCGACAAUCCAAAUCGGAUGCCUUUGCUGCUUCCCUCUCUUCCACUCGCCCACCAAACUAAAUUGCCUUGCACGUUGCUCAUCGUUUUAGUCCUAAUCUUUCUCCAGUCUCAUGUAAGCCUUAACAGAGUUUGUCUUAAUCCUUUGCCCUAUUGUCGCUAAACUACAAACAUUCUAACUCUCUCUUAUUUCUCCUCCUGCUCCUCCUCCUCCUUGCCUCUGCCCCCAUGCCAGUUUAGAUAUUGUCACUUGUUCUGUCUACUUCUCUUUUCUGGUUAGGUCCUUCUCACCUGUUCUGUUUAAAACCAAUAUUUGACCUCACUGUCGUUGGAAAAUCCCACUCCAUCUCUCUCUUUCCUGUCUGAAAUCCAUGUAGUUGAUGUCCCUCAAGGAUCUGUCCUUGGCUCAUGCUGUUUCUCACUGACAUACCGCCAGGAGGUGAGAUCUUCCACAAGCACCAUGUUAGGUUUUGCACGUAUACUACAAUAUUCAGAUCUAACUCCCCUCCAUCUCUCUCCUUUGCUCCACUGUUACUCAAUUAUAAAACUGCUUGUCAUGAUUCCACUACGUGAUUAGCUGAAAUUUCCUCCAAUAACACUUUGUGAAAAUUAAAC
Stegostoma tigrinum is the source of this 2131-nucleotide long non-coding RNA. RefSeq lists it as uncharacterized. The transcript is spliced from 4 exons. The record is from RefSeq and is a predicted model, not a curated record. Lineage: Eukaryota; Metazoa; Chordata; Chondrichthyes; Orectolobiformes; Stegostomatidae.